GAUGAACGCUGGCGGCGUGCCUAAUACAUACAAGUCGAGCGAACAGACGAGGAGCUUGCUCCUCUGACGUUAGCGGCGGACGGGUGAGUAACACGUGGAUAACCUACCUAUAAGACUGGGAUAACUUCGGGAAACCGGAGCUAAUACCGGAUAAUAUAUUGAACCGCAUGGUUCAAUAGUGAAAGACGGUUUUGCUGUCACUUAUAGAUGGAUCCGCGCCGCAUUAGCUAGUUGGUAAGGUAACGGCUUACCAAGGCAACGAUGCGUAGCCGACCUGAGAGGGUGAUCGGCCACACUGGAACUGAGACACGGUCCAGACUCCUACGGGAGGCAGCAGUAGGGAAUCUUCCGCAAUGGGCGAAAGCUUGACGGAGCAACGCCGCGUGAGUGAUGAAGGUCUUCGGAUCGUAAAACUCUGUUAUGAGGGAAGAACAAAUGUGUAAGUAACUAUGCACGUCUUGACGGUACCUAAUCAGAAAGCCACGGCUAACUACGUG
Molecule: ribosomal RNA, 497 nt
Filed under: uncultured bacterium
Lineage: Bacteria
Description: partial 16S ribosomal RNA
Rfam family: Bacterial small subunit ribosomal RNA
Source: RNAcentral